UGCAGUCGCACGGGCAUUUUCGGAUGUCAGUGGCGGACGGGUGAGUAACGCGUAGGAACAUGUCCAGGGGUGGGGGAUAACGCUGGGAAACUGGCGCUAAUACCGCAUGUGAGCUGAGGCUCAAAGCCGCGAGGCGCCUUUGGAGUGGCCUGCGUCCGAUUAGCUUGUUGGUGGGGUAAUGGCUUACCAAGGCGACGAUCGGUAGCUGGUCUGAGAGGACGACCAGCCACACUGGGACUGAGACACGGCCCAGACUCCUACGGGAGGCAGCAGUGGGGAAUAUUGGACAAUGGGCGCAAGCCUGAUCCAGCAAUGCCGCGUGGGUGAAGAAGGUCUUCGGAUCGUAAAGCCCUUUCGACGGGGACGAUGAUGACGGUACCCGUAGAAGAAGCCCCGGCUAACUUC
This 405-nucleotide ribosomal RNA is filed under the name Roseomonas sp. RNAcentral describes it as "bacterial SSU rRNA". It matches the Rfam family "Bacterial small subunit ribosomal RNA", at positions 56 to 504 of the family's 1533-position model. Lineage: Bacteria; Pseudomonadati; Pseudomonadota; Alphaproteobacteria; Acetobacterales; Roseomonadaceae. The record is from RNAcentral.